CGAAGCAACGCGAAGAACCUUACCAGGUCUUGACAUCCCCUGACAACCCAAGAGAUUGGGCGUUCCCCCUUCGGGGGACAGGGUGACAGGUGGUGCAUGGUUGUCGUCAGCUCGUGUCGUGAGAUGUUGGGUUAAGUCCCCGCAACGAGCGCAACCCUCGCCUCUAGUUGCCAGCAUUCGGUUGGGCACUCUAGAGGGACUGCCGGCGACAAGUCGGAGGAAGGUGGGGAUGACGUCAAAUCAUCAUGCCCCUUAUGACCUGGGCUACACACGUGCUACAAUGGGCGGUACAAAGGGCUGCGAACCCGCGAGGGGGAGCGAAUCCCAAAAAACCUGUCUCAGUCCGGAUUGAAGUCUGCAACUCGACUUCAUGAAGGCGGAAUCGCUAGUAACCGCGAAUCAGCAGGUCCGCGGUCCGAAUACGUUCCGGCCUU
Molecule: ribosomal RNA, 434 nt
Filed under: uncultured Geobacillus sp.
Lineage: Bacteria; Bacillati; Bacillota; Bacilli; Caryophanales; Anoxybacillaceae
Description: bacterial SSU rRNA
Rfam family: Bacterial small subunit ribosomal RNA
Source: RNAcentral